Long non-coding RNA from Alnus glutinosa, 1065 nucleotides. RefSeq lists it as uncharacterized. The transcript is spliced from 3 exons. The record is from RefSeq and is a predicted model, not a curated record. NCBI's taxonomy places the organism in Eukaryota, Viridiplantae, Streptophyta, Magnoliopsida, Fagales, Betulaceae.
GGAAAUCUCUCCACCCCCUCACGUCUCGCCACGUGUCCCCUAUCUUCUUCCUCUUUCUUUUCUUUUCUUCUUUUCUUUCUCUCCUCUCUUCUCUCAUGCACGUCACUGCCUCUCUCCUUCUCCCUUUUCUUUUCCUUUUCUUCCUCUUUCUCUCCUUCUCCUCUCUGUUUACCCGCACAUCACAACAGCCCCUCCCCAUUUCUCUCUUUCCCUUGUUCACACAUGUUGAGAGAGAGUAGACCGAGACUGAGAGAUCGAGAGAUCGAGAGAGAGCCGGGAGCCGAAACCCGCGACCCAUGAGCCUAGAAAACCCGAGACUUGUGACCCGAUGACCCGUGAGGCCGGUAGAACCCGAUCGGUGUGCUGAGUCAUCGCCGGUGUCCUGAGGAGCGACGAUGGCCGAACCAGGGGCGGAUUCCGGUCAACCCAGGUCCGAUUUCCAAUGGGUUGGCGUCUGGUCGCCUAGUGGUGUGUUUUCCGGCGAUUGGGAGGUGCGAAUUCCAGUGAUUUUCCGAUAGUUUUUCUAAGGAAAUCCUCAAGGAUCAUGUUCGGAUUGGAGACUUUAAUUGGUUCUCCAAUGUAGAGUCCAAGUGACUAGAGUCCAAGGAGUGUUUGGGUUGGAGUCCAAUGCAGCCAAGAUGAUAUUUCUUUGGCUGCAGGUACUACGGUAUAGUCGAUGGGUCGGUAGCAGUGUGCUUGGGAUAUUAUGACUGAAGCUCAUAGCGACGGUUGUAAGUGUCGGACCACGGGUUGUCCAUUGUUUUAUAGGUUUAGUAUAGCUUGUGACGUUUGUGUCACAUAUUCUUUGUAAAGCCAUAGUUGUUUUGUAAAUAUUGUGUUAAUAAGACUCAUACAGAUAGAUGUUAAAUGGUUUUUUGUUGUAAUUAAUUUGUGAUAGAUGUAUAAGUUGUAAUUUCCGCUAUUCAGAAUUAUGUUUUCCGCUGCAUAGAUAGAUAUAUGUCAUACUCUGAUUAUCAGGUACAUGUUAUGGGGCAUGUGCCAUAUGUUGGUUGAGCGACACGUAGUCGUGCCACUGCGAUGACUCGUUGUACGUUUUGUAAAAAA